Molecule: non-coding RNA, 73 nt
Organism: Trichonephila clavipes
Lineage: Eukaryota; Metazoa; Arthropoda; Arachnida; Araneae; Nephilidae
Source: the annotation of a GenBank genome assembly
AUACCUGUAGCGCAAUAGAUGGCGCGUUGGAUUUAUAAUCCAAAGAUCGUGCGUUCAAAUCCCAUCUGGAAUG